GGCUGGUCGGAAGGGUGAGCCCAGGAACAAGGCCGUGCGGCCCAACACUAUGGCAGGGGAUCCCAAGGAGGUGUUGUGCCAACCUGAUGACUGGCCUGACAGCGAGCAACCGGGGCCAUCUGUUCAAGCCACACCUGCGGUUCCGGCAGUGCUGCCUGUGCCUGCGGUUUCAACUGAAGGUCAGGCGAUGGCCCACCCCACUGCAUCAGUAGCUUCAUUGGCGCAUAGUUGGAGGGUCCUGAUUUGCGGCCACAGCUUUGUCCACUGGGCUGAACACCAGGCACAACGCACUCCCUAUGGCCAACACUUAGGCCUUGCUUCUGCUGCCAUGAUUCAAUGGAGAUGCAAAAGAGGCUUACGAUGGGACGGCUUAAUUCCCCUGUUGUUCAGUCCAGUGAGUGGGCCUCCUCCCGAGGUCCUGGUCAUUCACCUUGGGGGGAAUGAUUUAGGCCUUCUUCAGGGCAGGGCCUUAUAUUUUCAGACUAGAGCCGAUUUUAUGAGGAUAUGGGACGCAUGGUCCCAUACGCAUACUAUUUGGUCAGAGAUAAUCCCACGUCUAAAAUGGUCCGGUGGGGGAGACGUGCGGAAGCUGGAGAGGGCAAGGAAAAGAGUCAACAGGGCUAUUCGUUCAUCAUUGACCCGCGGAGGCGGGUCAAUUAUUUCUCACAAGCUCACGAUAAGGAGCACUUUUACCGGGCAGAUGGUAUCCAUCUGUCGGUUGAGGGUAACCUUCAGUUCCUGUUUGAUUUGCAGGUAGGAAUUAGAGAGGUGUUAGAGAAUUUGGUUGAGGUUGGAGACUAGAUAGACAUCUGCCCCCAACGGUGGCGGAAAAUGGAUAUGGGAAAAUUACAAUCUAGGGUAUAUCUAGGGCACCAUCCCCUUUGGGGUGAAGGACAUCAGAAAACACUCAUCUACUAUUCAUCUUUAACAGGUGAGGUGAAGUUUAAGGCCCUUGGAAUGCCAGAAGUUUGGCCUCAACAACGUUGAGGGAGGCUUCUCUGACACGCUUCCCUUAAAGGUUACUCGGUUGUUGGCCAACCGGGAAUCAAGUUUUUUCGCCAUUGUCAGCACAAGGGCAGGCCAGAUAAGGACUCUACCUUGGGUGGAAAUUUUCCUACCAAAUUUUCUAUCAGAAUAGAGUUUUAGUUCCAAAGUUACAUAGGUAACAGUUAAUAAAGUUGCCCAUAUUUAAACCCAAUUUUAUUUGUGUCGUAUUUUGAGAGUUGGCAGGCAAACGGAUCACGGAGAUACUUAUGGCACGUCUGAGGAAGACACGUUUGAAGGGUUUUCAAGUGAUGAGGAAUCAAUGAUUCAGGGAGGAGACGGGAUGGAUGUGAUCAGAGGAACUAAGAGGGUUACUCUGGAGCAGGAAUCAGAUGAGGAAUGGGAGAGGAAGAAGCUCCUGAAUAUACUUACUGCUCCCACAGAGGAGGAGUCAUUUUUGGGUUUCUCUGGGGAUGAUGGGUCUGAGAGUGAUGAAAAUGGGGAGGGCACAUUGGACUGGACUAGGGUACAAGAAAUAAGGGAUAUGGGCACAGAGCCAAUUCCUAGUGAUGCAUUUGUUGCGUCUUUGGGACAGGAGGAUUGGCAAACAGCUGAUACACCAGGGCCAUGGGGAAACCUAAGUCUUGAUAGAAGAUGGAGGAGCUGGAGGGAUGAGAACCAGGAUUCACGUGUGAUGACAGGAACAGCUGUGGGAGAUGACGAUGGGGUGGAAGCCAGUUCAUCUUCAGAUAAUGAUGUGUAAGUUUAAAAGUAGGGCCUGAAAUGGGGAUCCUUUGCAGAAGGCAAAGUGUCGUUUUGGCGUAGAUUUGUCUCUGCCUGUUUUUCCUGUUGGGCUUUGGGUCCUGGCUCUACAGCUUGGCGUUCCUGGUUCCUGUGAUUCUUUGAUUUGGACUGGACUAUUGUGAAUGUGCUUUUCUCCCUUCCUGGACCUUUGGACUGGCGACUUCGGCUCUGUUUGAUGACCUCCGGUAACGACGCUUGGAUUGGCUUAUCGCGGUUGCAGCUUUUUCCUUUCCUGGCUUCGGUUUGACUUCACUUCGGCUCUGGUUACCUUCUUUGGAAAACUACCUUUGGAUUGGCUAUCGUGAGUGCGGCUUUCCCCUGCUCCUGGAUCCUGGUUUGACUCGACUGCAGCUUGUGUAAACACCUUGAGGACGUCAUUAGUUUGUUUCCUCUGUUCUGCUGCUUUUUUGAACUUUGACUAGUUUUGUUUACUUUCUGAGUACAGCGCUGCCUUCCAGGAAGUCUGUUUUAGCGCUGUUUGCUGCCAAUUCCAUUGACUGUAUUUUAAUCCAGAUUAUCUAUCCAUUUAAUCCAGAUUAUUUUCUGUUCUUCCUUUUGAGCCCAGUUUGGGCUAAUAUUUUGUGUUUUGGUCAGAGACACUGCAGUUAAGUGUCUCUGAGCCUGUUUUUGAGUUGCAAUAAAUCUUUUGUUAAAACUGA
Anolis carolinensis (green anole) is the source of this 2447-nucleotide long non-coding RNA. RefSeq lists it as uncharacterized. The record is from RefSeq and is a predicted model, not a curated record. NCBI's taxonomy places the organism in Eukaryota, Metazoa, Chordata, Lepidosauria, Squamata, Anolidae. The transcript is spliced from 2 exons.